This 91-nucleotide transfer RNA is filed under the name Felis catus (domestic cat). It matches the Rfam family "tRNA". From Rfam's summary of the family: Transfer RNA (tRNA) molecules are approximately 80 nucleotides in length. Their secondary structure includes four short double-helical elements and three loops (D, anti-codon, and T loops). Further hydrogen bonds mediate the characteristic L-shaped molecular structure. tRNAs have two regions of fundamental functional importance: the anti-codon, which is responsible for specific mRNA codon recognition, and the 3' end, to which the tRNAs corresponding amino acid is attached (by aminoacyl-tRNA synthetases). tRNAs cope with the degeneracy of the genetic code in two manners: having more than one tRNA (with a specific anti-codon) for a particular amino acid; and 'wobble' base-pairing, i.e. permitting non-standard base-pairing at the 3rd anti-codon position. Lineage: Eukaryota; Metazoa; Chordata; Mammalia; Carnivora; Felidae. The record is from Rfam by way of RNAcentral.
GCCUGGGUGGCUCAGUUGGUUGAGUGUCUGACUCUUGAUUUUGGUUCAGGUCAUGAUUUUUAGGUCGUGGGAUCAAGCCCCUUCUCAGGCC